Long non-coding RNA from Neogale vison (American mink), 918 nucleotides. RefSeq lists it as uncharacterized. NCBI's taxonomy places the organism in Eukaryota, Metazoa, Chordata, Mammalia, Carnivora, Mustelidae. The transcript has 3 exons. The record is from RefSeq and is a predicted model, not a curated record.
GCCGCAUGCCCCCUUCCUCGCCUCACAUUUUCCGCCAAGCCCUAACUGGAUCCCCGCACACUCGCCAUCCGGCUCCCUCUCGAGGCGGAAGGUCCCCGGGAUCGGGAAGGGAAACCACCGAAUUCAAUGACACGUUGGGUUUCCUCUUCUCAUCAUUCUCCCCGUAACCGACCCCUCAACCCGUCGCCAAUGGCGAUUCCACCAUCUAGUAUCAUCUACCAGAGAACAAAACUUGUUAACUUUUAAAGCCCGAAUCCGUGUGGUCGGUAUGAACUCAUCACCGCGCGCUUCGCUGCCCGUGACAUAUGCUCAUUAAACAUUUACAACAUGGGGACGAUCGUAACGCUACCAAAACGGGGAACGUGGGGCGGGGUGGGAAGAGGGGCUUCCCGAGAAAGGGUUAAGCUAGAAACCGUCUUCGACACCAACACGCGGGAGGGAGGGCGAGCGCUUUUCACCGAAACCAGCGCCCACCCUCUCCUGGCGAGUGCUGACAACUUCCUGAAGAGAGACAAAGGAAGCCACCCCAGGGACUGAGGGACCCCAGAGAGCUGGGAGACCUAACUGAUAAGCUACCGCCCGUCUCUGGCUUUGCCCGUCUCUGGCUUUGCCCAAUGACUUUGGGCAGCCUCUCUGUCUUCCUGGGCUUCCAUCUCUCCAUCCGCAAAAUGGGAAGCGUAAUCCCUAUCUAUGUGGCUUAUGGAUGUGAAAGCUGCCUGCCUUCUGUUUGUGCUACACUGCAUUUCCCAAAGGGCUUUCAUGGAGAAGGACAGGUGUGACUGUCCCCAGUUGGCAGCUAAAGAACUGAGGCUCCCAGAAGUUCGGUUAAUUGCUUCAAGAUGCUGGAGCAACAGACUCAAGGUGAGAACCCAGGUCAUACCCCUCCCAUUCCAGACCCUUCCACAACCCUACAGGAGA